RNAcentral lists this unclassified non-coding RNA (235 nucleotides) under plant metagenome. RNAcentral describes it as "partial contains small subunit ribosomal RNA and internal transcribed spacer 1". The stretch from base 1 to 46 matches the Rfam family "Eukaryotic small subunit ribosomal RNA", at positions 1786 to 1831 of the family's 1831-position model. The record is from RNAcentral.
AAGUCGUAACAAGGUCUCCGUUGGUGAACCAGCGGAGGGAUCAUUGCUGGAACAAACGCCCUCACGGGUGCUACCCAGAAACCCUUUGUGAACUUAUAACUCGUUGCCUCGGCAGUGGUUGGCUUCGAACGAAGUCCCUUGCGCCCUCUGGGCACAAGGAGCAGACCGGCCGACGGCCCCUAUAAACUCUUGUUUUGUAAUAUCAUCUGAGUAAAACAACUAAAAUGAAUCAAAA